CACGCUGUAAACGAUGAAUACUAGGUGUGCGGGGACUGACCCCCUGCGUGCCGCAGUUAACACAAUAAGUAUUCCACCUGGGGAGUACGAUCGCAAGGUUGAAACUCAAAGGAAUUGACGGGGGCCCGCACAAGCGGUGGAUUAUGUGGUUUAAUUCGAAGCAACGCGAAGAACCUUACCAGGGCUUGACAUCCUACUAACGAAGUAGAGAUACAUCAGGUGCCCUUCGGGGAAAGUAGAGACAGGUGG
This 249-nucleotide ribosomal RNA is filed under the name uncultured bacterium. RNAcentral describes it as "partial 16S ribosomal RNA". It matches the Rfam family "Bacterial small subunit ribosomal RNA", at positions 796 to 1041 of the family's 1533-position model. The record is from RNAcentral.